RNAcentral lists this non-coding RNA (45 nucleotides) under Schistosoma mattheei. Lineage: Eukaryota; Metazoa; Platyhelminthes; Trematoda; Strigeidida; Schistosomatidae. The record is from RNAcentral.
AUCCAACUGACGAGUCCGAAAUAGGACAAAACGCGCGUCUCGGAU